Molecule: ribosomal RNA, 1638 nt
Filed under: Triticum aestivum (bread wheat)
Lineage: Eukaryota; Viridiplantae; Streptophyta; Magnoliopsida; Poales; Poaceae
Description: partial small subunit ribosomal RNA
Source: RNAcentral
UUUCUUUGGGUGUGCUGGAGAGAGGAGCGAGCGCGGGGAGGGAGAGGGUGCGCCUACUGUUACCGCUGGCGCCGCACAGGCGAAGGGUACCAGCACCGUCAGGACGGGCGCGUCUGUUAACCCGAACGUCGCGGAGUGGAGGAGCUGGAGGGCAAGGCCGCCUGGUAGGGAGGCCUUUGGCGGUCGUCGACCUACGCUGGAGUUCACCGCAGCAGGAAGGGUCUAGACCCGGUUCGCCGAAAACGGGAGGGAGAAGCUGCCCUCCACGGGUAGGGCGUUAAACAGAAGCUCGUCGGCGUGGGUGGCCCUGCGUGGACGAACGGCCCGAUACUGCGGUGGGUAGGGAUUUGGCGACCGCCGCCGCCGUUGUUCGGCCGCUGCGGAAGCGGUUCCAACGUCGCUACCUUUGGUGUGAUCCCAAGGCCCACGACAACCCUCCCCGCUCGCACGCCGUACCCGGAGAUCGGAAACCCUGUGUAGAGGUGUGCGUAUUCGAUCCUAGAACGUCGUCGCCACCGCCGUUUACUGCGGGGUAGAAGGGAAUCGGCCGCUGCCAACUAGUUGCGCCACUGUCGUACGUGACGGGGACAGGAAGUGUAGAGUUACAGCGUCAGCACCGGAAGGAGCAGGUAGUCUCCCCUUAGAACCACCCGUUGAAGAAGAAGCGGUACCAAGAGGUCGUUGACGUGUUCAUCCAGCCCAGAGAGCCUAACCACGGGGCACCUUAAGUCUAACAUCCACUACAUACCGCGACGUGUUCUCUCCUGUACAGAUAACCUUUGUUGAUUUAAAGAGACACGGUACGAUGACGUACUUGAUGGCUUAGGUAUUCGUUGAGAUGUGUGUUCUCAAGUCCCAACUUAUCUCAACAAGGGAGGUGUACCAACCUUUAAUUCCAAAACACAUAUGUUUCAAAGUCAUAACAACCGAACAGUAUAAUAAGCCACCAGUGGAUGGGUUCGUUGUUCGUGCCUAACACCUUCUUCACUUUUUAUAUGAUCUCUAAUAUACACAAGCUUUAGUUUACGAUCGGGAUCUUUAUAAUCAGCUUGUUCAGCAAGUUUAGCAAUAAAAUCAUUACAUAUAUUCAGUUAUGUUGAAACCAUUAGUUCAACUAGUUUAAAGAAGAAAAAUAAAUGGAAAAAAAGAGACUUGGUAAAAAUAGGAAAAGAAGGACUUAGUGUAUUGAUUGUAUCAAAUUGAUAGUCCAGAAGUCAUAUUUGCCUGUUUCCUUCUUUACAAGAAGUUCAGAGUUCGUAACAACCCAAGACUGCCACUCUUAUAGAAAAUGUCACUCGAAAACCGAUAGGACCCACCACCUUACCACGAUCUCCCAAGAGUCAAAUUACGGUUCAUAAAACUGUCGUUCUACCAUAUCGACGUUCAUGACGAACGAACCUGUUGCUACAUCAAAUACCUGAAACCUAUCGUUGAAGGCAAGGUUCUAAGACCUCUAGAGAAUGGAGAACUAGCUUCAAGGUACCCCUACUGCAGGUUUAAGGUUCUGAGGACAACUGUUCUCCAACUCAUGUCUAUACAGUGUAAUACUGUAAAGACGGUAAUCCUGCGUGAUAAAAUCUUGGGUAACACCCAAACCAGUAAACAGUGGGUAAGAAAAAUUAUAACCGAAGGGUUUUG